This 274-nucleotide ribosomal RNA is filed under the name uncultured bacterium. RNAcentral describes it as "partial 16S ribosomal RNA". It matches the Rfam family "Bacterial small subunit ribosomal RNA", at positions 523 to 796 of the family's 1533-position model. The record is from RNAcentral.
AUACGAAGGUGGCAAGCGUUGUUCGGAAUCACUGGGCUUGAAGCGCGCGUAGGCGGCUGGGCAAGUCAGACGUGAAAUCCCUCGGCUCAACCGAGGAAUUGCUUUUGAAACUGCCCGGCUUGAGCUGCGUAGGGGUCCGUGGAACUCUCGGUGGAGCGGUGGAAUGCGUAGAUAUCGAGAGGAACGCCGAUGGUGAAAACAGCGGACUGGGCGCAUGCUGACGCUGAGGCGCGAAAGCGUGGGGAGCGAACGGGAUUAGAAACCCCGGUAGUCC